AAGGCCUUAAGUUAAAUAAACUAAUAACCUUCAAAGCUAUCAAUAAAGAAAUCUGUCUUUAGGCUUUA
RNAcentral lists this transfer RNA (68 nucleotides) under Glyptotermes angustus. RNAcentral's name for it is "tRNA-Trp". Lineage: Eukaryota; Metazoa; Arthropoda; Insecta; Blattodea; Kalotermitidae. The record is from RNAcentral.